AGAGAGCUGCCUGGCACACAGCCAGUCCCUGCCUCUCAGCUGUCAUCCCCAGCAGAUGAUGUCUAUCUAUGCAUUUGCUCACUGCCUCUCUCCCCAGGAGUGGGGGCUUCCAUGAAGAUAACCUUCUCACUGUUUACUGCUGUGUCCCCAGGGCUGACAUCAUUCCUCACACAUGACAAUCACUCAAAAAAAUAGUUGUUGAAAGAAGUGUGAGUGAAGGAACUGAUGGAAGCUUUCCAGCUGGUAUCUAAAGGAACUCACAACCCCGGGAGAAGAGGAACGGAAAGUGUAAGCAAUGCAUUCUUCACAUUCCUGCAGUGACCAGGAAGAAGAGGAGCUUCAGAGCCAGUCUGCUCCCUUCAGGAAGAGUUCCAGGCAGAAGCAAACAGAACUCACCUCCCUGGGGAGCAGGAGUCAGCUGUGAACUGCUGUGGCCUUAGUUCAUGGUCUAGCACACCCAUCAGAACCUGCAGUAGCAGUUUCCUGUCUGUGUUCCUGCUGUAACCAGUUCCAGCGGUGAUCUCAUCACGGCCUGCCUCCCACUCCUUCUGGGGAGCUCAGCCCCUCAGAAGAGCCCUCCAGGGCACUGCCUGCUACCCAGAUGGAGAGCCCUUCAAGGCACUCCCUGCUACCCACAGCCCCUUCUAACCUUUCAGCAGCCCCCCAAGUCUUCCCUUAGUUGGGUCAGUUGAAGAUAGCUAGUGGACGGUGCUCCAUGCCUUUGUCCCGGGCAUGGCCUGGUGUUCCUUCUCUAGGUGUCUCUGAGCCCUUGCUUUUGUUCUGCCAACCUUCCUCCUUCCUGUCACUGACAGUUCAUCUGUCCUCUCACUCCCCUGCCAUUCUUUCAUGUUCUACAGCUGCCCGUCUUCCCUCUACAAGUGUUCUCUCCCUCCUGGCUCCUGUAUACUUACCCAGAGAGACUUUCACUUCGGGUGAAGCUGCCCAACUCUUUCUACCCCUGGAAGAGCAGACAUACACUCCUUAAAGCAACGUGGAGAAAACAGGAUGUUCUUUCAUCCCCUCACCAUUUCAGACAGUAGUCCUACCCUCUCCUUACAUCUCUGAACUCACCCUGCUGGUAUAUAGGUCAGUAGGUCACAGCUCAGCCUCCCAUCCUCACAUGGAUGGCAUUUACUCCCUGACUUUCUUCAGCACAAUACCUUCAUGAAGAGUCCUGUCUGCCUCACCCAGUUCAACUUUGCCACCUCCAGCUUCCCACCCAAGCCCAGCGUGUUCUAUGAUUUACGAUUGAACUCAGCUCAAACUAAUCACCCUGCCCUUUGAAUCAAGGUAAACUUUAGAAUUUAGCAGAAUCAGGUCAUCUGUCUCUCUCACACACCAACACCCACACCCACUCCUCUCUCUAGUUCUUCUACACUCUUUAAUCUCUAGGUCAUAAACUCCCAAACACUCUAUCUCACCACUGGGUCUCCUCCAGUGUAUGUUACAAAUCAAUUCACAAGGCAGGAUUUAAUCCAUAAUCAUUUAACUGGAACGCUUGGGGAAAGUAGGCAGGGAAUACUACUUACGCACAGCCCUCGAGGAUGGUGUGAAAUUCUUUACGUUGUAACAUCCGAUAGCCACGCAUGUCUUGUGUUGCAUAAAACCUUUUGGUUUCCA
This is a long non-coding RNA of Mus musculus (house mouse), 1620 nucleotides long. RefSeq annotates it as RIKEN cDNA D030007L05 gene. The record is from RefSeq and is marked validated. The transcript has 2 exons. Lineage: Eukaryota; Metazoa; Chordata; Mammalia; Rodentia; Muridae.